This 663-nucleotide ribosomal RNA is filed under the name uncultured archaeon. Its description in RNAcentral is "bacterial SSU rRNA". It matches the Rfam family "Archaeal small subunit ribosomal RNA", at positions 1 to 670 of the family's 1478-position model. The record is from RNAcentral.
UUUCCGGUUGAUCCCGCCGGAAGCCACUGCUAUUGGGGUUCGACUAAGCCAUGCGAGUCUAUGGACUUCGGUCCAUGGCGGACGGCUCAGUAACACGUGGCUAACCUACCCUCAGGUGGGGGAUAACCUCGGGAAACUGAGGGUAAUACCCCAUAGGGGAAGAGGUCUGGAAUGAUCCUUCCUUGAAAGGACAUCCGCCUGAGGAUGGGGCUGCGUCCGUUUAGGUAGUUGGUGGGGUAAUGGCCCACCAAGCCUACGACCGGUACGGGCCUUGAGAGAGGAAGCCCGGAGAUGGGGACUGAGACACGGCCCCAGGCCUUACGGGGCGCAGCAGGCGCGAAACCUCCACAAUGCACGAAAGUGCGAUGGGGGAACCCCAAGUGCCUAUGCACAGCAUAGGCUUUUCCCAAGUGUAAACAGCUUGGGGAAUAAGGGCUGGGCAAGUCCGGCGCCAGCAGCCGCGGUAACACCGGCGGCCCGAGUGGUGGCCACUCUUAUUGGGCCUAAAGCGUCCGUAGCCGGUCCAGUAAGUCCCUGUUUAAAUCCUACGGCUCAACCGUAGGGCUGGCAGGGAUACUGCUGGACUUGAGACCGGGAGAGGACGAGGGUACUCCAGGGGUAGCGGUGAAAUGUGUUGAUCCCUGGAGGACCACCUAUGGCGAA